GACGAACGCUGGCGGCGUGCUUAACACAUGCAAGUCGAACGGAAAGGCCCUGCUCUUGUGGGGUGCUCGAGUGGCGAACGGGUGAGUAACACGUGAGUAACCUUCCCUUGACUUUGUGAUAACUUCAGGAAACUGGGGCUCAUACCGGAUAUGAGCUCCUGCUGCAUGGUGGUGGUUGGAGAGUUUCGGCGGUUGGGGCUGGUCUCGCUGGUUAUGGGCUGGUUGGGGGGGUAGUGGCUGACCAGGGCUUUGACGGGUAGCCGGCCUGGGAGGGUGACCGGGGACAAUGGGACUGAGAUAGGGACCAGAAGGGAACGGGAGGCAGCAGGGGGGAACAUGGCACAGUGGGGGGAAGCGUGAGGUAGAAACGCCGCGUGCGGGAUGACGGCUUUCGGGUUGUAAACCGCUUUGGACUGUGACGAAGCGUGAGUGACGGUAAUGGGUAAAGAAGCACCGGCUAACUACGUG
RNAcentral lists this ribosomal RNA (468 nucleotides) under uncultured bacterium. RNAcentral's name for it is "partial 16S ribosomal RNA". It matches the Rfam family "Bacterial small subunit ribosomal RNA", at positions 28 to 507 of the family's 1533-position model. The record is from RNAcentral.